RNAcentral lists this ribosomal RNA (393 nucleotides) under uncultured bacterium. Its description in RNAcentral is "bacterial SSU rRNA". It matches the Rfam family "Bacterial small subunit ribosomal RNA", at positions 27 to 423 of the family's 1533-position model. The record is from RNAcentral.
GGACGAACGCUGGCGGCGUGCUUAACACAUGCAAGUCGAGCGGUAAGGCCCUUUCGGGGGUACACGAGCGGCGAACGGGUGAGUAACACGUGGGUGACCUGCCCUUAGCUCUGGGAUAAGCCUGGGAAACUGGGUCUAAUACCGGAUAUGACCCCAUGACGCAUGUUGUGGGGUGGAAAGCCUUGUGCGGCUAGGGAUGGGCCCGCGGCCUAUCAGCUUGUUGGUGGGGUGAUGGCCACCAAGGCGACGACGGGUAGCCGGCCUGAGAGGGCGACCGGCCACACUGGGACUGAGACACGGCCCAGACUCCUACGGGAGGCAGCAGUGGGGAAUCUUGCGCAAUGGGCGAAAGCCUGACGCAGCGACGCCGCGUGGGGAUGACGGCCUCGGUGU